Molecule: ribosomal RNA, 484 nt
Filed under: uncultured bacterium
Lineage: Bacteria
Description: bacterial SSU rRNA
Rfam family: Bacterial small subunit ribosomal RNA
Source: RNAcentral
UAGUCCACGCCGUAAACGAUGGAUACUAGUUGUUUGGUUUUCGGACUGAGUGACUAAGCGAAAGUGAUAAGUAUCCCACCUGGGGAGUACGGUCGCAAGAUUGAAACUCAAAGGAAUUGACGGGGGCCCGCACAAGCGGUGGAGCAUGCGGUUUAAUUCGAUGAUACGCGAGGAGCCUUACCUGGGCUCGAACGCUAUUUGCCAGUCUGUGAAAGCAGAUUUCUCUUCGGAGCGGAUAGUGAGGUGCUGCAUGGUUGUCGUCAGCUCGUGCCGUGAGGUGUUGGGUUAAGUCCCGCAACGAGCGCAACCCCUAAUUUCAGUUGCCAGCAAGUAAUGUUGGGGACUCUGGAAUGACUGCCGGCGUAAGCCGCGAGGAAGGGUGGGGACGACGUCAAAUCAUCAUGGGCCUUUAUGCCCAGGGGCUACACACGUGCUACAAUGGUGCAUACAGAGGGCAGCGAAGCCGCGAGGUGGAGCCAAUCCC